UUUCGCAUUGAAAUUUUUGGUUCGGAUGUGAAUUUUAUCACGCCGAUUAAAAGGGAAUCAGGAAAAAGUUGGAAGUACGAGAUUAGAAGUUAGAAGUUUUACUUCAAUUUCCUACCUUCUAACUUUAUUAAGCCUGAGCUGUUCCCGCAACUGUAAGCUUAGUCUGUAAAAGGACGCUUGUUGUUAUCACUUCAAAAACCACUGUUCUUUUGUGAACGGGAAGGUAAACAACAAGACGCGAGCCAGGAGACCUGCCAGAAUAUAACCAAUAAA
RNAcentral lists this non-coding RNA (273 nucleotides) under Salegentibacter mishustinae. The record is from RNAcentral. Lineage: Bacteria; Pseudomonadati; Bacteroidota; Flavobacteriia; Flavobacteriales; Flavobacteriaceae.